Papaver somniferum (opium poppy) is the source of this 490-nucleotide long non-coding RNA. RefSeq lists it as uncharacterized. Lineage: Eukaryota; Viridiplantae; Streptophyta; Magnoliopsida; Ranunculales; Papaveraceae. The transcript has 3 exons. The record is from RefSeq and is a predicted model, not a curated record.
ACACCGACUAUUCUUGGGGAGAUUUUUUCAUCUUCUUCCUUCCUCCUUUUUCCCUUUCUCUGUUGAACAGACUUAUGCAUGAGUAGCUUUACAGAAAUCUUAUUAGAUGGAGACACAAAGAAAUUGGUUUUGGAAGAUGGGGAACGGCAGAGGAUUUGUUUGAGAAAUCAAAUGAAUCGAGCUUGGAAUAUUAUUGAUUCAUUGUUGCUAAUCUUUGUGUCGUUUUCAUGGAAGGAAGCUUGGUUUGGAUGAUGGAACCGUAAUUUGAGUUUUGCAGAGAACCAUACUGCUGAAUGUAAACUACAUGGGAGAGUUUUUAUACUAAAACGAGGCACUUAGAUUGCAUGGAUUUUGUUAAUUUUCGGAUAUGAGGAAUCCAUUUUUGUGAUUACUAAUCUGUAUAAAUUUCAAACAAAAUGUACCAUGGUAAUUACACCAACUAGGGGACUUUCUCCAGUUACGCCUGUGUAGUUCAGUUUGGUUUGAUCAU